ACUCUCUCUCACUCACUCACUGCAUCUCGUUUCGUUGUGCAAACACGAACGACGAACGAAGGGGUUCGUUCAACACUCAACACUCAGCGGGAAUGACGAAAAGAACGUUCAACCACUGCGUCGCAGCACGAUUGCAUCCUAGUCCGAUUCCGAUUUUCCGUCUCUUCGCGACGUGACUGUUCGCAACUGGUCGCAUUUAUUGCUGUCGUUAUUAUUGUUGCUGGUAAUAUUAUUUUCAUUGUCGCGUGCACAUGCAGCUGAAAAUGCUGCGAAAUACUGUUUGCUUACGUGCUGUUUGCUUGCGUGCGGUAACGCAGCGACGAAGUACUUACGCCUUGAUUACAUCCUGCUGGAUUAUCCUCCCAAAGAGAGAAAAUGGUCGCAGAAAAGUACAGCCAAGCCGAUCCUGAGCUGAAGGAGGAAUUGCGCACGAUUGCCCAGCAGAUCGUAGCACCCGGCAGAGGUAUCCUUGCCGCCGACGAGUCAACCGCGACGAUAGGCAAGCGUCUUCAGGACAUCAACGUGGAGAACAAUGAGGAAAACCGCAGGGCCUACAGACAACUGCUUUUCACCACAGCAAAGGACGUCAUCGGACAGCACAUCUCCGGAGUGAUCCUCUUCCACGAGACCCUCUAUCAGAAGGCCAACGAUGGCACGCCGUUCGUCGAGCUGCUGAAGCAGCGUAACAUUAUCCCCGGCAUCAAGGUCGACAAGGGCGUGGUGCCGCUCUUCGGCACAAACAACGAGUGCACAACUCAGGGUCUCGACGAUCUGCAGGCGCGCUGCAUCCAAUACAAAAAGGACGGCUGCCACUUCGCCAAGUGGCGAUGCGUAUUGAAGAUCACCAAGGACACGCCGAGCAAGCUCGCGAUCCUGGAGAACGCCAACGUGCUGGCGCGCUACGCCUCCAUCUGCCAGAGCGCCAGAAUCGUGCCGAUCGUGGAGCCUGAAAUUCUGCCGGACGGCGAUCACGAUCUCGCCCGUUGCCAGCAGGUGACGGAGGAGGUGUUGGCGGCCGUUUACAAGGCACUCGCGGACCAUCAUGUGUACCUCGAAGGCACGCUGCUGAAGCCCAACAUGGUGACACCAGGCCAGAGCUGCCCGACGAGAGCGACUCCGCAGGAAAUCGCUGGGGCUACGGUGACCGCGUUGAUGCGCACCGUGCCACCGGCGGUGCCUGGCGUCACUUUCCUCAGUGGCGGCCAGUCCGAGGAGGAAGCAUCGGUCAAUCUGGACGCCAUCAACAAGUAUCCAGCGAAGAAGCCCUGGGCGCUCACCUUCAGCUACGGACGCGCUCUUCAAGCUUCCGUGCUCCGUGCGUGGGCCGGAAAAGCCGACCAGGUGGCCGCCGGUCAGGAAGAGCUGAUCAAGAGGGCAAAGGCAAACGCCGCAGCCUGCCAAGGCAAAUACGUCGCUGGUAGCAUUUCUAGCAAAGCCGCUGGCACCUCUCUCUACGUCAAAUCUCACGCCUACUAAAAAAAAAAAGCAAAAAAAUCUUGCCUUUCCGCACAGAGUCAGUUUCUCCUGUGGCAGCCAACAGCGAAUCGGCGCUUGGCAAGUAUGGGGGUGGCGUCGCCGGUGCCGCGGGGGAUGCAGCGCUCUUCGUCGCUAACCACGCAUACUAGAUCUAAACCCAUAGAGAGAGAGAGAGAGAGAGAGAGAGAGAUUACGAUGCGAAAGAGUAAGGGAUUAGACGCAAGAUUAAGUCGCCGAACCGAAGUCGCUGGAUCAUCAUCGCCGUUGUUUUCUGUCGCGUAGUUCCGCGCGAAAGACAGAGAGAAGGAAUUCUACCGAGGAGGAUUGAGAACGAUUCGCGGGCAUAUCACGAAACCACGCGCCAAAGUUCAAAGUUUUCGAGAUCGUUUGUCGCCACGUGGCUUUACCGUGGCGCACGUCGUUUCUCACGAACAACCCCGUAUAUAUGCCCAAGCCGGGCUUUUCAUUUACUUUGUCUUUCUUUUCUCCUUUUUUUCAUUCCAUGAAGCUCAAUCGAUCGUGCAGCGAUAGUUAAUUUGAUACCAUGCCGUCUGACUCGAUUCCAGUGAUUCGGAUUGAUAUUCCGUAUGACGACUUUGUCCGGACGAUUGGUGAAAAUUUUCUGGUAUAGGGACACCUUGUGGGUGUCAUCUUGUCCGACAGCGGCGGAUAUGUCCGACGAUCAAUUUGGCGGAGAAUCUUGUGAAAAAUGUACAGAUAUCGAGCCGAUAGGUUUCCUUUUCGACAUAUAGAGCCAUUUCUCUCGAAUACGGUUCAUUUUUACGAGCUACGCGAGAUCCAUCUGCAUCAGUGAUCGAAGAAGUUCCAAACAUACUAUUACACACCGAUCGCGAACAGAUUUCGCGGCAUCCGAUAUUAUCUGACAUGCGAUCAUUAUUGUGUUGAAUAAUAUUAUAGGAUACAUACAAGGCAAAUAUAAAUUAUAUAAAUAUAAAUAUGUGUGUGUGUGUGUGUGUGUAUGUAUAUGUGUGUACACAUAUAUACGCAUAUAAUCAAUGUCGUUGUACUCUACGUGUAUAAAAUAAUAACAUCGUAAGAAGAAAGAAGAAAUACGUAAGAUAAAGCGUAAGAUAAAAAUAUUAAAUGUUGUUUAUUAGCGAAUGAGUCGAAUAUUACAAAACCGUGCUGUAUUGUGUCGUCUAAUUAUACAAUAUAAUAUCUCGCAUAGUCUACUCGGAUAAUCUACUUGAGAACUAUCUCGCAUGUCGAUGUUACAUCUAAAUAUUUUCAUUGUAAUCUAGGUCACCAAAUACAACUGUGGAGGGCAAAAAAAGUA
Molecule: unclassified non-coding RNA, 2773 nt
Filed under: Harpegnathos saltator (Jerdon's jumping ant)
Lineage: Eukaryota; Metazoa; Arthropoda; Insecta; Hymenoptera; Formicidae
Description: fructose-bisphosphate aldolase, transcript variant X2
Source: RNAcentral